UCGGUCCCGGUUCACGUCCGUGCGGGCGACCCGGGCC
This 37-nucleotide non-coding RNA is filed under the name Mycolicibacterium septicum DSM 44393. RNAcentral describes it as "L31-Actinobacteria ribosomal protein leader". It matches the Rfam family "L31-Actinobacteria ribosomal protein leader". Lineage: Bacteria; Bacillati; Actinomycetota; Actinomycetes; Mycobacteriales; Mycobacteriaceae. The record is from RNAcentral.